GUUGCGUCCAAAUCUGUCAUAGUGCCAGACAGAAACCUGCAGGGUCCUGGUUUCCAGCUGAUUUUCAGUUGGGAUGAACAACACUUCCUUACCUACGCACAUUUCAGUGUUCAGACUCAUCUUUCUUCAUCCUCUUCA
Lonchura striata (white-rumped munia) is the source of this 138-nucleotide non-coding RNA. Lineage: Eukaryota; Metazoa; Chordata; Aves; Passeriformes; Estrildidae. The record is from RefSeq and is a predicted model, not a curated record.